GUAUCUUCAUGAGACAGAGGUAAAAUCUUCACUAAACUCUUAGCAUCAUUGAAACAUGUGUUGUAAAAGCAAGAAUGUUCAUAGUAUAUUGUUAAUCUAUUAAUGUAAACUUUUCAUAGAAAAUAUAUUGUCAGUGUAGUACUAUAUUCAGCAUCGUCUUCAGACAUUAUUUUUUUCUUUUUUGCCUUUUUCUUUGGCAGUUGGAUUCCUAGAGAGCAUGUUUGUUUUUAUCCCUGGUAUAAAAAAUAGAUGUUGCUUAUUGCCUUUAUAUGAAGGAGAGACUCCUUAUUGUUGUUGAUGCCUUCCUCUCUCAUGUUGGUAGCAUUGCAUGAAGGAAAUUAAGAUUGAGCACUCGAGUGAAUGUCCAAGAACAGCAUGUAUUGAGACACAAUGUAUUUAUUCUUCCGAGGAAGGACAGAUCUUGCAAAAGAUUGAUGAUCUUUCGAGAUCGUUGGAUGAGCCCGAUGAUAGUAACGAAGCCGAUGUUACUGAUGAUUCUGAUGCUAGCAACGAUUCUUAUAAUAACAACUUGCCAAAAUUUAUUAAUUUUAUUUGAGCCUAUAUUUGCUAUUUGGGUAUUUUGGGAUUGUGGUAGCCUUAUUGGAUUCUCUUGUAAUGUUUCAUUAGUCCAAUGUUCAUAGCUUCUAAUGAACCAAUUAAAGGGUAUUGCUAUUAAACUAACAUUUCAAUACAAAGUGUUGAUUUAUGACUUGUGUGUGGAUUGUACAUGGAACUUCUUGAAGCUACCAAAACUAAAAAUUUAGUUCACUGAUGAAAAAAUUGAUACAAUAUUGUUUCUUGCUUGAUUAGAUUACAUGGUGAUUAGGAUAAUAUAUACAAUGAUGAUAAGAAAUUCUCGUAACAGUUCUAAGGCUUGACAUGAGUGAAUUUUUUUUUUUUUUUUUUUGGUUUGAACCACGAGAUGGUCCUGAGUGGGCCCCAACUGUGGGAGGCACCUUUAAGCCCGUACCACAACUCAGACUAAUCCCCGCUCGCACCGGGUCGGCCCAUAAGGGGUAAAGUGCUGGCCAAAGUGGUGACUCCAUACGAGAGCGGGACUUGAACCUCUGACCUCUCUUAAGGAGUGAGAGUGCCGAACCACUCACACCAACCAACUUUGGUUUGACAUGAGUGAAUUUCCUAUUGAUUGUAUUAUAAAAUAUGGAAGGCUAGAGAGAUUCUUACCAAAAUUAUCAUGAAGUUAUUGUUCUGCUAUCAAUCAAAUACUUGGCCGUUAUAAAUGAUUCUGGAACUUGAUAUGUCGUUGGCUUGCACUUUCCUUCCAUAGGUUCUGAAUGUUUGAUUGUUGCUAAAAUUCAUCCUGUGUAUGAAUCUCAUCUGCCCCCCUCAAACUAGGAUCGGUCAUGGGGUGAGUUCCAAGUUUGUGCCUAAAUUUUAGGAAGAGUUUCUUACACAGAGGCUUUGUAAAUAUGUCAGCAAUUUGAGAUAGAGAAGGAGUGUAUCUUGUGUCAAGCAAUCCUUGUGUGCCUUUCUCACGAACAACAUGGUAGUC
RNAcentral lists this long non-coding RNA (1513 nucleotides) under Citrus sinensis (sweet orange). RNAcentral's name for it is "long non-coding RNA (CSIN_LNC000139)". Lineage: Eukaryota; Viridiplantae; Streptophyta; Magnoliopsida; Sapindales; Rutaceae. The record is from RNAcentral.